Long non-coding RNA from Neofelis nebulosa (Clouded leopard), 721 nucleotides. RefSeq lists it as uncharacterized. The record is from RefSeq and is a predicted model, not a curated record. The transcript has 3 exons. NCBI's taxonomy places the organism in Eukaryota, Metazoa, Chordata, Mammalia, Carnivora, Felidae.
CACAGACAUUCUGUCCGUUGCAGGCACGGAUGCCAGACCAGUGUGGCUGGCAAAGGAAGGGCUGAGCGAGGGCUCCAACCUCCAGUUGCCCCAAGAAGGCUGUCAGGGAAAUAUUAACGCCAUCAACACACAUGGGAGUGAGUGGCGAGCCCAGCGGGACGUUUGCAUUGUGUUAAGCCUUAAGAUAAUAUGGUAUGUUGCUGCUCGGAAGAUGGAGCCUGGGGCACAUGGGAGACCACCAGGUAGAGACUGAGGAUCAAGUCAACAUACUGCAAGUAGCAUGGACAGAUAGAGAAACUGGGUUACUGUCAACAUUAUUUAAGCUGCUGGAUAGAGCCUCGCCUGAUUCCCACCUAUCAGCCCUCCCUCUGACAUCUCUAUUACGGGUACCCAUGAAUUCCUAUUAUUGUUUAAGCCAGUCUGAGCUCACUUAGGAGACACUGAACAAAGGAGGUGGUGCUCUGGAUGAGCAGUGUGUCCUGAGGUGAUAGAGUAGCAGGCCAGGCCAGCAGCUGUUCACGGGUGAUGCGAGAGAAGCGGGAUCCAUGAGAGUGCUCCCAGCUAUCUGGUUUUACAACCCACUGAAGGGAGGAGGAGACAGGAGAGUCCUGCGGUAAAUAUUGGAUUCUUGAAAGUUAGGUGCCGCUCAAUUAGCCAGAGAGAUGCGGUAUUUGAACGCAUGGAUGUGUAUGUGUGUAUUAUGUGCUCAAACACCACAUCU